AUUUAGCGGCGUUCUCUCUCCAAUGUCGAGCAAAAAAUCCCGACCAUUUUCCUUCUCCAGCUUUCAUGUUGACGAUAUUUUCUGUAACGGCGACUUCAAUCCAGACCAAUAUCGGAGCAAAUCGAAGACAAAUUGGGGAAAAGAAGACUCCGAAUCAGUUGUACAAGCCCUCAAGAUUCCAGACGAGUGGUUGCUCCCUUCCAGGGCCAUUGAGGUGCUUUCUCGCUUCGAUCAAAUGCCAAAUUUCCAAAGCGAUUGAUUUUUGUGUUUAGCGAUUCCUCUGUUUCUAGUUUCGAAUUUCCGCCACUUUUCUCCUUCUUCUUUCUGGGUUUCGCGCCGUCCUCGCGUUUCUUCUUCCAUCCUUUGGUUUCUGGUGCCUCGCCGUAGAAUCCUUUGCAGAAAAAUAGCUAUCACAAAGGGAAGUGCUGGAUAUUCCACUGCUACAGCUCCUGGUGAUUCCAACGGGUGUCAGCAUUCGGGUCAUCAACGGUCUUUUACUGUUGACUUUAGUGGAGAGUGGAAACUUAAUAUAGGAUCCAACUUGGCGAGAAUGGUUCCACCAACUGUGAAACAAGCUGGAGCUGUGUAAGUGUUUGGAGGAAGGAGGAAGUCAAUCAAUAUGGAAAUCUUGUCCAUGCUUGCCAUACAGAGGUAUGUGGUCAUGUGUUUGCUGUUACAUUGUUAUUCACAAAGCAAUGAAAUGCUAAUGCACUUGACUUAUAGACGCUUCUUGUAAUGUUUCUUUUGUUCUCUGCUUAUCGAUUCUUUAGGUGUACACAAUUGAUGUAAAGAAUGAAACACCUGUGAUAAUCAAAUUUUAUACAAACAUUUUUAAGAG
Eutrema salsugineum is the source of this 838-nucleotide RNA transcript. It is a transcript of the gene named DNA polymerase I B, chloroplastic/mitochondrial, with no coding region annotated. Lineage: Eukaryota; Viridiplantae; Streptophyta; Magnoliopsida; Brassicales; Brassicaceae. The transcript is spliced from 2 exons. The record is from RefSeq and is a predicted model, not a curated record.